This 584-nucleotide long non-coding RNA is filed under the name Ursus maritimus (polar bear). Its description in RNAcentral is "lncRNA (ENSUMAG00000000339.1)". Lineage: Eukaryota; Metazoa; Chordata; Mammalia; Carnivora; Ursidae. The record is from RNAcentral.
GCGGAAGACUUAAUGACCAAAGCUUGAAGACUCGACCCAUGUGACAGCACCAAGUGGCAAAUGGUGGAACCGAGGCCGGGAGCGAGCUUCAACGACUGUCACCUGGAAGGAGUGCUCAGGGCCUGGACAAACUUAAGACUGCCAUGUGUCCUCUUCACUGCCCUCUCGGUGGGAGGCCAGACAGGGCACACUGCCGUUGUUAUUUUGCCUAUUUACGGAAGGUACUUAAUGCAUAUGGCACAGAACUUCAAAAGGCAGAAGUCUGGAAAGAAGAAUACAACGCCACUUAGAUCAGAUGUUAACCUGCAGAAGGUCUUUGGGAAAUGGAUCUUUCAGAUUGUUCCGAAUAUUCUGUUCCGAUGUUUGAAAUGGUACAGAAAACACAUGACUCACAACAGCCUGUAAAAGGAGUCCCUAUGGUGUGGCAUUUAUGACUGACCCAGGCCCUUGUGCCCUGUCUGGGGACCACUUAAACUUUGAUAUCCAUAUAUCUCCAUAUCUCGAUAUGGUGACUGUAUGUCUGUUGAUGGUGUGAAUUGAAGCCAGAGCUAUGACGCUGUGAAUAAAAUAGCUCUGGGGCCACA